AUCCAGUUGACGAGUCUGAGAUAGGAUGAAACGCUUGUCUUGGAU
Molecule: non-coding RNA, 45 nt
Organism: Schistosoma curassoni
Lineage: Eukaryota; Metazoa; Platyhelminthes; Trematoda; Strigeidida; Schistosomatidae
Source: Rfam